Molecule: transfer RNA, 74 nt
Filed under: Candidatus Azambacteria bacterium
Lineage: Bacteria; Candidatus Azamiibacteriota
Description: tRNA-Arg
Rfam family: tRNA
About the family: Transfer RNA (tRNA) molecules are approximately 80 nucleotides in length. Their secondary structure includes four short double-helical elements and three loops (D, anti-codon, and T loops). Further hydrogen bonds mediate the characteristic L-shaped molecular structure. tRNAs have two regions of fundamental functional importance: the anti-codon, which is responsible for specific mRNA codon recognition, and the 3' end, to which the tRNAs corresponding amino acid is attached (by aminoacyl-tRNA synthetases). tRNAs cope with the degeneracy of the genetic code in two manners: having more than one tRNA (with a specific anti-codon) for a particular amino acid; and 'wobble' base-pairing, i.e. permitting non-standard base-pairing at the 3rd anti-codon position.
Source: RNAcentral
GCCCUCGUAGCUCAACUGGAUAGAGCAGCUCCGUCCUAAGGAGAAGACUGGAGGUUCAACUCCUCCCGAGGGCA